RNAcentral lists this ribosomal RNA (265 nucleotides) under uncultured archaeon. RNAcentral describes it as "partial 16S ribosomal RNA". It matches the Rfam family "Archaeal small subunit ribosomal RNA", at positions 719 to 982 of the family's 1478-position model. The record is from RNAcentral.
ACACGACUACAUUAGAUACCCGUGUAGUCCAGGGUGUAAACGCUGCGGGCUUGGUGUUGGGGGUCCUUUGAGGGCGCCCAGUGCCGGAGAGAAGUUGUUAAGCCUGCUGCUUGGGGAGUACGUCCGCAAGGAUGAAACUUAAAGGAAUUGGCGGGGGAGCACCGCAACGGAAGGAGCGUGCGGUUCAAUUGGAUUCAACGCCGGACAACUCACCAGGAGCGACGGUUACAUGAAGGCCAGGCUGAUGACCUUGCCUGAUUUUCCG